Small nucleolar RNA from Hypanus sabinus (Atlantic stingray), 73 nucleotides. The record is from RefSeq and is a predicted model, not a curated record. NCBI's taxonomy places the organism in Eukaryota, Metazoa, Chordata, Chondrichthyes, Myliobatiformes, Dasyatidae.
AUGCAAUGAUGUACAAUGAAUUUCUUCACCUGAAUAACCAUGUGGUAUUUUGAGCUUUUUAACCCUGAGCAUU